Molecule: small RNA, 968 nt
Filed under: Pan troglodytes (chimpanzee)
Lineage: Eukaryota; Metazoa; Chordata; Mammalia; Primates; Hominidae
Description: retained intron
Source: RNAcentral
AUAUUCACAUUUUUGUACUUCUAGUUCUGCAUUCCAGGAAGCCGACAUAGUAAGCUCUAAGGACAGUGGUCAUGGAGACAGUGAACAGGGAGACAGUGAUCAUGAUGCCACCAACCGUGCCCAGUCAGCUGGUAUGGAUCUCUUCUCCAAUUGCACUGAGGAAUGUAAAGCUCUGGGCCACUCAGAUCGGUGCUGGAUGCCUUCUUUUGUCCCUUCUGAUGGACGCCAGGCUGCUGAUUAUCGCAGCAAUCUGCAUGUUCCCGGCAUGGACUCUGUUCCAGACACUGAGGUGUUUGAAACUCCAGAAGCCCAGCCUGGGGCAGAGCGGUCCUUUUCCACCUUUGGCAAAGAGAAGGCCCUUCACAGCACUCUGGAGAGGAAGGAGCUGGAUGGACUGCUGACUAAUACGCGAGCGCCUUACAAACCACCAUAUUUGAAGCUAUUGUGGAGGCAGCUAUGUGGAGAGACACAUGUGGCACAAGAUCAGGGGCUGUCAACAACCACAUGAGUGAGCUUGGAAACAGACUCCCAAGUUGAGCAUUCAGAUGAGACCACAGCCCCUGCUGACAGUUUGACUGCAACCUUUGAGAGUCCUUAGCCAGAGGCACCCAGCUAAGCUGCACUAAAAUUUUUGAACCACACAGAUUGUGAGAUAAUAAAUAUUUGUGGUUUUAUGUUGCGAUGUUUUGGGGUAUAUUGCCAUGUGGCAAUAAAUAGUUAAUACAUUAUGUAGGUGAGAAUCCUAUUGUCUGAUACAGUAAUAUGAAGCAUUGAUUUUUCUGGUGUGAUGUGGCCAUUUUCAAAACCAAUAUGUAUAAUGUACACACCCUGUUGCUUUACCUUCGUCUUCAAUUUUCAGUUCUUGCUUACUCCUCUUUCCCUGACCUUGCACACAAAAAAUCAUCCCCACCAUUUUUGGGAUUGAUCUACUAGCUUAAAAAAAAUAAAGCUGUCCUCAUCAGAUGAAA